This 93-nucleotide transfer RNA is filed under the name Nostoc calcicola FACHB-389. RNAcentral describes it as "tRNA-Ser". It matches the Rfam family "tRNA". Rfam says of the family: Transfer RNA (tRNA) molecules are approximately 80 nucleotides in length. Their secondary structure includes four short double-helical elements and three loops (D, anti-codon, and T loops). Lineage: Bacteria; Bacillati; Cyanobacteriota; Cyanophyceae; Nostocales; Nostocaceae. The record is from RNAcentral.
GGAGAGGUGGCUGAGUGGUUAAAAGCGUCCUCCUGCUAAGAGGAAGCGGAUAGUUAAUAUCCGUCGCAGGUUCAAAUCCUGUCCUCUCCGCCU